UACGUACUCCCUCCGUUCCAAAAUAGAUGACUCAAUUUUGUACUAAAGGUAGUACAAAGUUGAGUCAUCUAUUUUGGAACGGAGGGAGUACAAG
Triticum aestivum (bread wheat) is the source of this 94-nucleotide non-coding RNA. The record is from Rfam. Lineage: Eukaryota; Viridiplantae; Streptophyta; Magnoliopsida; Poales; Poaceae.